AUUUUUUACUGGUUUCGGCUCCUCUUUGGUGGAUCCGGUUUUGGUAAAAAAUAAAGAGCAGCCGCUGACCAAAUAGCCUAAAACAAGGACGCAGAACCAAAACUCUUCAGCACCCAAAAGGAGAGUAACCAAAAACUGCACGAAAGAAUAAAACAAAAGCCAUUCAAAAACCAAGUGUUUCCUCUCACUUGUUGCAUAAAAUUAGAAACGGUUGAUGAAUAUUGCAAAGAGAGCUUGGUUUGGAUUGUGCUGGGGCUGCAUUGGUACUCCUCAUCCUCGAAAGCAUAUAACAAGUGGAUUCCACAUCUUUUCACCUUUAAUUCUAC
RNAcentral lists this unclassified non-coding RNA (326 nucleotides) under Hevea brasiliensis (rubber tree). The record is from RNAcentral. Lineage: Eukaryota; Viridiplantae; Streptophyta; Magnoliopsida; Malpighiales; Euphorbiaceae.